RNA transcript from Gossypium arboreum, 6003 nucleotides. RefSeq lists it as uncharacterized. The record is from RefSeq and is a predicted model, not a curated record. NCBI's taxonomy places the organism in Eukaryota, Viridiplantae, Streptophyta, Magnoliopsida, Malvales, Malvaceae. The transcript is spliced from 18 exons.
UGAUAAAUUAAUAUUUUGAAUUCUAAAAUAUUUUAUUGUUUGUUAAAAUUUACUUAUUUUCUCUCAUGCAUCUUUAAUUUAUUAAAUCAAACUUUUUUGGCAAUAAAAUAAUUUUAUUUUCAAAACAUGUAUGAAAUAAUAAAAUUUCAUUUUUCAGUAAUGAAAUAAAAUGAAGUAGUGUAUUCGCGGUGCUUUUAACCUUCCUACCCGCAAAUCUCUCUCAAAACAUCUCAUGUUUGUCUUGGCCACCGUUUUUCUCUUUGCCUUCCCUCUUGUCAAAGCUCCUUUCGUCUUUCUGCUACCAAAGAAGGUAAAACCGAAACAUCAACAAUUAAAAAAAGAAGAAGAAAGGAAUAAGCUGCAAAUAAUGUCCAAAUCAAACCCUAAUUUCCCUCCCCAGCAAUUAUCCAAAUCUCUGACCAAAUCGUUCAUGGCUCAGAACCAAGUCAUGGACUCGCUUACUUCCCACAUCUCUCUCUACCAUUGCCAUUCUCUCUCCCAAAAUCCAAACCCUAACCCUAAUAGCAAUUCAAGGUCUUCGAUCCUCAGGUGGUUCUCAUCUCUCACCAUCCAUCAACGUCAAGCUCACCUCACAACCGUCGAUUCCAAGUUCACCCAGCUCCUCAUCCAGAUGCUCGGCAAGCUUCGUACACGUGGCCAUGGCUUCUUCAUUAUUCUUCCCGACCUUCCCUCUCGUGAUCCUCCCUUCCUCCCGGGCCUCUGUUACAAACAAUCACGUGGUCUCCUCUCUAGGGUUGCCCAGUCCAAUGAGUCGGAACGGCGAGUUUUUGAGUCGGUUCGGUUGUUCGGAUCCAGAGAAGGCGAAAAAAUCGACGACUGUACGUGCUCGGUGAGUAGUCUCGAUUCGAUGACGGUGACUGAAGAGUUGGUUGAAAAUGUGGACCGGUUUGUUGAAAUAAUGGAUGAAGUUUCAAACGGUGCGUUUUUGAGAGGGGAUGAGAGCGAAUUGGUAUCGGAUUGGAUUGAACUCGAGUGGUUAAAAUCAAAAGGGUAUUAUAGUGUUCAGGCUUUUGUUGUAAAUAGAUUAGAGGUGGCGUUGAGGUUAGCGUGGUUGAAUUGUAAUAAUGGGAAGAGAAGAGGGAUGAAGUUGAAAGAGAAGAUGAAGGCUGCUGGGGUAGCUGCAAAUGUGUAUUGGAGGAAGAAAGGAUGUUUGGAUUGGUGGGUAAAUUUGGGUGAUGCAACAAGGAAGAAAGUAUUUAAUGCAAUUUUCGGGAAAGCUGCUAAAUCCCUGACUUUCGAGGUUCUGAAGGCAGCAGGUAGUGCCUCAGAGAAUGAAAUGUGGCUUUUUAGUGCAGGAGCAAUGGAACGACCGAUGAGAUAUACCAAUUAUGGUGAAAAAAAGCUGGGGACCACCCGAAAACCCCUUGAGGAUGCAGAAUUUGGCAUGACUGUUUCAGCAAAUUCUCAUUCUGGAAAACCUACUUCCCUAACCAAUGCCUUUAGUAGUUUGUUUGUGCUUCAGGAUAUUGUUACUGUGGUCCUAUCAUGUCAUCACCACUGUGAUGUGGGAAAGGUGUUUUAUAGCUCAUUAGGCUCUGUAAGUUCCAUCAUUGAUAGCAUAUUAAGAAAACUGCGAGGAUAUCUCAUGGUUAUUUCACUUGAUUGCACAAAGCUUGAACUUCUUGGCGAAGGAAAUUUUAACUCUUCGUCUGAUAAAUCCAAGGAUAAGUUCAGUGCAUCUAGCCGUAAGAAAAAGGGAAAGCCCCGAAACAUUAAAAACCCAAAUCCUGUUCUGAAGAUGGAGAUGGAUGACCAUCCACCGCAAAAACCUCUUAAGGAUCUUGAAUAUAAAUCGACUCAUAAUAAGAAAGCAGAUUUGAUGGAGUCCACCAAGACGCAUGUUAUACCUCAUGAUAAAGAGGUACAAACCCAAUCAGUGGUUGGUGGAAAAGGACAAGCUGCUGCAAGGAAGAGCCGAAAGGAAAAGAAUAAAAAAAAACGCUCUUACAUCAAUGAUACAACUGAAGCAAAAUCUUCUAAGAAGGCAGUCACUGGGUCGUCUUCUUUGUCUUUUGUUUCUCAAGAUGAGGCAACAAAGUCCAAUGGGGUAUUGGACAAUUUAAGUGUAGAACACAGUUUUCCAACUGAUCCAAUAAGUCAUACAAACAUUCUUGAACCAAUUUCAAGUCCUACUGAACCAAAUAAUCAUCUUUUCAAGGAAGAUAUUGCCCUGCAUGUGCAAGAUCAUGAGGUUGGUUCCACUAAUGGUUUCUGUCAUAAGGGUACAGGGCAUCAACAGGACUCAAAAGAUAUUAGUGCGAAUGAAAUCAUUCCUACCAGACAAGAGAGUUCAAAUUAUAAGCGAGAAUGUAAUGUUUUGCCUCCUAUUGCCCCAAAACCUGGUAGUGUUUUCAUUGGAGAAGGCAUCAAUGAACAUAGUGCAAGUAGAAUUCAGGAAAAUUCAACUUCCGGUGUAUCUGCGAAUGCACUUGACAUUAAAGAGGGAGUUUCUGUGAUUCAGGUGCAAGAUAAAAAGUUUUAUAAUACUGCACCUACUCCACAAUGCCUUUCAUACGAGUGGCCUAGUGUAGCUCCCUUUUAUUUUCCUUCUAUAAAUCCACAUGUUCCAGCAGCCACUGAUCGGUUGCACCUUGAUGUGGGUCACAAUUGGCACAAUCACAUCCGCCAGCCUUUUGUGCCCACCAUGCAUCAGGCAAGAAAUCCUUCGAUUGAAAGUGGUUGCAAUCGAAUCUUAUCUCGUCCAAUGCCAAUGAGUUUAGAUUGGCCCCCUAUGGUUCGAAGUGCUUCUGGAUUGGCUCCAUCAGUUACAUACAAUUAUGACUCUGGAUUUAUUUCUAGGCGACAGACAGCUUUUCAGCAGAGUUUUGCUUCACAAAAUUUUCAGUUCAAUAUGAAGAGUUUUGAGGAUGAUAGAAAGUAUUCUGGGGAUUUCUUUGACUUGCCAGAUCCUGCAAAUACAUCUGAACUGGCUGAUGAAUAUGACAGCCACUAUAUAUCAGAGGAAGAAUUUGAGGUGCAUGCUGUUUCUGGUAUAGAUUAUAAUCAAUAUUUUGGUGGGGGUGUGAUGUACUGGAAUCCUUCUGAUCUUCCAGGUACUGGUUUCUCUAGACCUCCUUCCCUUAGCUCCGAUGAUAGCUCAUGGGCCUGGCGUGAAGCAGACAUGAGUAGGGCUGUUGAUGACAUGGUUGCUUUCUCUUCAUCUUAUAGUACUAAUGGUUUGACUUCGCCAACAGCUACUCCAUUUUGUUCGCCUUUUGAUCCUUUGGGUCCUGGACACCAAGCAGUUAGUUAUGUUGUGCCAGGAAAUGAAGUGUCUAGCAAAGUGUUGCAUUCUGCAUCAGCAACACCGGAUGCAGCAACUGAGGAGGAAGCUCCUGGAUCUUUCGCCAAUUUAUCUAGUGAUGUUGAAGCGAAAACAGGGGAUUCACUUCCUUACCCUAUUCUGCGUCCUAUAAUCAUUCCAAACAUAUCAAGGGAGAGAUCAAAAUCUGACUUCAAGCGUGGUCAUGAUCAUAAAAGCCCACGUGUUGCUCCAACUAGGCGUGAACAACCUAGGAUAAGACGGCCCCCAUCACCAGUGGUGCUCUGCGUUCCACGAGCUCCCCGUCCACCACCACCAUCUCCUGUGAGUGACUCAAGGAAACAGCGUGGUUUUCCAACUGUUAGAUCUGGUAGCUCUAGCCCAAGACAUUGGGGUAUGAGAGGUCUGUACUAUGAUGGAACCAACUCAGAGGAUGCUUGUGUAUGCAUGGAUGGUACUGAAGUUGUUUGGCCGUCUUGGAGAAGUAAGAAUCUUUCAGCCCAUCCAAUGAUCCAUCCUCUACCAGGUGCUUUGUUGCAAGAUCAUCUGAUUGCAAUGUCUCAGCUUGCUCGUGAUCAAGAGCAUCCAGAUGUAUCAUUUCCUCUACAGCCUCCAGAGUUACAGAGCUGCCCAGCUCGAAAGGCAUCUCUGUCUUCAAUGCACAACUUCCUUAAUGAUGAAAUUGACUCCUUUUGGAAGCAGGUUGCAGCAGAGAAUAUGGCCUGUAAGCCAUACAUUAAUUGGGCUGUUAAGCGGGUUACAAGGUCUCUUCAGGUCCUGUGGCCUAGGUCAAGGACGAAUGUCUUUGGUUCAAAUGCAACUGGAUUAGCUCUUCCAUCGAGUGAUGUGGACCUUGUGGUUUGUCUUCCUCCAGUGAGGAAUCUGGAACCUAUCAAAGAAGCUGGGAUUUUGGAAGGACGCAAUGGUAUUAAAGAAACUUGUCUUCAGCAUGCUGCCAGGUAUCUUGCCAAUCAGGAGUGGGUAAAAAAUGAUUCUCUGAAGACUGUGGAAAAUACAGCUAUUCCUAUUAUUAUGCUUGUGGUAGAAGUUCCUGGUGACCUAAUAACUUCUGCGUCCUCUAAUGUGCAAUCACCCACAGACGAGCAAAUAGAUAGAACUGCUGAACAUGGUGACCAUGCUCAUUCUGAUACUGUUGCCUUAGACGACUCUGCUUCACCUAAGUGCUCGCAAAUAAAUUAUGGUAACACGAAGGGUGUCAAAUCAGUUCGUCUAGACAUCAGUUUCAAGUCGCCCUCACAUACAGGACUCCAAACUACUGAGCUGGUGAAAGAGCUGACGGAGCAAUUUCCAGCUGCUACGCCUCUUGCUUUGGUACUAAAACAGUUCUUAGCAGAUCGUAGCCUGGAUCAGUCUUACUCUGGUGGGUUAAGUUCAUAUUGUCUGGUGUUACUUAUUAUACGUUUCCUACAGCAUGAGCAUCACCUUGGACGGCCUAUCAAUCAAAACUUUGGAAGCCUUCUGAUGGAUUUUCUUUACUUUUUUGGGAAUGUGUUUGAUCCCCGGCAAAUGCGUGUUUCUGUACAGGGAAGUGGAGUAUAUAUAAACAGAGAAAGGGGUUAUAGCAUUGAUCCUAUACACAUAGAUGAUCCUCUUUUUCCAACAAAUAAUGUGGGGAGAAAUUGCUUCCGGAUACAUCAGUGUAUCAAGGUUGGCAUUUUCAGAAGCCUAUUCUAUUCUGGAGGAUGAGCUUAGCUGCCUAUCAAGUAACACCAAUUCAUCUUCUAACCCACCAUGCAGAUUGCUUCAAAAAAUCAUCCCAAGUAUCACUUUAUCAUAGUGGCUUAUUUUGAGCAUCUUCAUCUUCUAGAAGCUGAAGUCUUAACCCUAAUGGGAGCAUUGGGUCUUGAUUAUUUGUUGGAACUCCCUUGGGAAUGUGCUCUAAGGUGAUCUUUUUUCACUAUGGCAACCCAGGGUUUGUCUCAGAGACAGCCUCACUCAUCUUUUGAAGUGAUGCUAGGCAGCGAGCUUAAUCUUGCCGUUGAUCUUUGCAAGUGAAGGAUGCGCCGGUCUCAUGUUCAAAAAUGGUUGUGCUGUAUGGUUUAAUCUUGAUCGAAAUAAAACUGAAAGGGUUAAUAUGAUGCCAAACUGAAUAUUCUGUGAAGUUAAUUUUGAGCUCAGCUGAUUGUGGUGGUGCCAUUGGCCACGGUUAGCAUCUGCACUAUGUUCAUUUUAUCAAAUGGCAUUGUUGGUGGUACAAAGGUACGCAGUCUGGAUGCCUAUUUCCUUCCUGAAUGUAGAGAUUAAGGAAGAAGGGCAGGGCAGGCCAGCAUAGGCAAAAGCAGGUGUGAAAACGGAGUCUCGUUACUAGCUUGGUAUUUCAUCUGGAGAAGGCAGCUGUGAGUUCUGGCAGAGUGCCUGUGUAGGAUAGCUAUUGUAUGACCGGGGGCCUAUAUGCGCUUCUCUUCUGCCUGUGGCUCCGGGUGUGCGAUUGUGGACCCGGGAUUUCAACUUUAAAUUUGUUGGGUACAGACAUUGGCCAGAUAUUGGUUGUGAAGCCAACCUAGACUGGCUCUUUUUUUUUUUUUUUUCCUAAAAAAAAAGUCGAAACAACUUUGGUUUGUAUUAUUAUUUUCUGCUAAAGUCAGCUCUUAAAAUACCUUGUAUCUAAUUAAAUUCCUAUUUUCUAUAAUUUUUAGUACUUUUUAUACAAAAUAAGAGUUUAAUUAAACAGAAAUAUACUUAUUUUGGGGGAUGAAAAA